CGCAUGUACCUGUCCUGGGAGGACCCAGCCUGCAGUCCCACUGAAUUUUAGCUCAGUGGGUCUGAGGUAUGGGAAAUCCCCGAACAGGCAGC
RNAcentral lists this microRNA precursor (92 nucleotides) under macacine gammaherpesvirus 12. RNAcentral's name for it is "miRc-N5". The record is from RNAcentral. Lineage: Duplodnaviria; Heunggongvirae; Peploviricota; Herviviricetes; Herpesvirales; Orthoherpesviridae.